Molecule: transfer RNA, 71 nt
Filed under: Neopanorpa chelata
Lineage: Eukaryota; Metazoa; Arthropoda; Insecta; Mecoptera; Panorpidae
Also listed under: 2 other names
Description: tRNA-Val
Rfam family: tRNA
About the family: Transfer RNA (tRNA) molecules are approximately 80 nucleotides in length. Their secondary structure includes four short double-helical elements and three loops (D, anti-codon, and T loops).
Source: RNAcentral
CAAAUUAGAGCUUGAUUAGUAAAGUGUUUCAUUUACAUUGAAAAGUUGUCGUGCAAAUCGAUUUAAUUUGA